UGAACGCUUUGGCAGACAAACUCGACUUCUCCCUCCAAAGUGAUUUCAGCAGGAGGAGGCAGGCUGUGAGCCAUUGUCAGGACAGAGCCAACAGGUGCCCAGGCCCCUGCGAGUCCCGCCUGGAGAGGGGCCUCCAGUCAGCCUGCGGCCCAGGGCGACCGGCCGGGACAGGAGGCGGCGGUGCUGAAAGCUCAGGACGACAGGGGCCUGUCGGGGCGCGCCGGUCGGCUAAACUCGUCUGUUCACUGCCAAGGGGGGGGAAACACGCCCUCCACCUCGAGAUGCCUCUUGAUUUACGCCCUUGAACAGGCCGGACGCUUGUGCAGGUUGUGCACCCUCCCUGUGCGGGGAGGCCACCGGCUCGGCCACCUCACUGCACCCACGGCCCUGCGCAGCCGGGCAGUAAAUGUGAUUUUCUGAGUUCUUUGACAGCUGGUGACAAAGGGCCAGGUCUGUUUAUUUAUGUGGAUUCUACUUCCCAUCGCGAGCGUUAGUUCUUGAAAUAUUCUGAAAUCUCUAGGCCGUCCUGUGCUUUUCCACGUCACGUGAGAGACGGUCGCGUCCCCAGAUGACUCUGAUGUGAUUCAGCGUCGCCCUGUGUGGUGCCGGUGUCCGGCCGCCUACGGGCCACCAAGGGCAGCAGAGGUCCCGCAGGCCCCGCAGCCUCACCCGACCCGGCCUGCGGGGUCCUGGACUCACAAGACCAGAACCUGGGGCUGGUCCAGAAUGUGCGGCAAAGGCCCCAGCCCAGGCCCACCCCUGGCGAGUCCGGCGUGGCUCCUGGCUGGCUGGGCGUCCAUCCGGGAACCACAGGAUUCGAAACUUCCUCCCCACCCCACUGUCCCCUGUUUGUAAAUGUGAAAACUGAGUCCAGAAGGAGGCCGUGUGUCCGAGACCGUCCGACCAAGUUCGGGACAGGGCUCUCCUGAGACCCAAGGCUGUUUCCAGGGCCUGCCAGUCACCGGGCAUCCUCUCGCCGGGCACUGGGAUGUUGCCCCAGCACCUCCGGGGGGCCCGUCUGGCCCCGGGCCCGGGGGACGGCCGCAGUGACGCCGAGUGCCUGCAGACUGCGGUUUCCAGGGAAGAGGCCUCCGGGACCCCCUCACGUCACCGAAAUCCCACCUGGAAGAACCCGGGCCCUGGCCCGACCUGCUCCGUCUGGCUCAUGUGGCUUCGGGCCAUUUGUCUUGUCUGAACGAGACAGCGGUGUGGGCCUCAGCCACCAGUCCCUGGCGUGUGGCCGUCACCCAGCCUUGGGGGGCGCCUGCAGAGCUAGCGGGGGGCCGGCUGCAGACGGGGAGGCCACCGGGUGGCCGGUGCCCUGGGCGGGCCCUCGUUCUCCACUACAAACACACGCGAGCUUUGAAUCAGUGUGCAUCUCCCUCCAGUUCGCCACCGCGGCCGCCUCCUGAUCCAUCUCACGGUGGCGGGGCUCCGGACGGUUUGAGAAAACGAAUUGGCCGAAGAGUGAACAAAUUCUGGACGAUUCACCUAAAGACCAACGUUCUAGGGUUGCCGGUGGUGUUUCUUCAUUUAUUCCAUUGCUCCUAUUGCAUACAGUUCUGAGCGAACCAAAAUGAAUAGGACGGUAAGUUUUUAUCCCCAAGAUACUCACUGGGAAACGUGACAAACCAAUAUGGUAAGAGAGGUGGUGGUAUGGGGACAAAAUAAAGGAGCCAAUUCUGCUGGGGAGUCAGAACGACCUUUGGAGAGUGGAUAUUUGAACUAGGUCUUGAAAGAAUAAGAGAUUGUGGAUGGAGACGGUAAAGAGAUACUUGCCUACGAAAGCGAACACGGUAUUUAAAGGGCACAAAAGGAUAUGCGAUCACGUGGGGUUAGAGGUGGGGAAGAGAAUUCCCGGAGAGGAAAAGUCCCACAUUUCACAGUCAAGAGGGCCCUGCGUGCAUGGCUCCCCCUUGCGUGGUGCAGUGCACAGCCUACACGCCUGCACAUGGGGGCCCUGGAGCAAGUCAGUGAGCUGAGCAAGGUCACCUCCUACAGGGACACUCAAGUCGAGACUUUAGACUGCAGACCACCGUGGCCUACCAGGGAACAUUGCUUCCACUUAACUUCUAUCUAUCAUCUCUAUCUAUCUAUGAUUUUAUUUAUUUAUUUGACAGAGAAUGAGAGAGCACAAGCAGGAGGAACCGCAGAGGGAGGAGGAGAAGCAGGCUCCAUGCCAGGACCUGGGAUCAUGGCCUGAGCCAAAGGCAGAUGCUUAGCUGACUGAGCCCCCCAGCAGGAGCCCCUGCUUUUCAGUUAACUUCUUUAAAUCUACACAAUAUAUGGAUUAUUUCUUAUUUUUAAAAAGUUCACACAAAAUAUGAAUUCAGAGCUAAACCACAAGGCCCGCCCUUUCUUUACCACCCCACAACCAUAACGGGAACUUCCUUGCCUGCUCCCAGAGGGGGCCAGUGGUCGGGUGUCCCCUCCGUGCACUGGUGUGCUCGUGAGUACACUAGCUGGAGGCGUCCUACCUGAGGGGUCGCGUCCUGCACGUUCUGCGUCCCGCUUCUCUCACCUACGGAGGUGCUGGGAAGGGCUUCCAAUCCCAAUACAAGUGGAAAUCGGUCUUGUUCUUUUUCAGGGCUACCGUGCUGGGGACUGUGGCCCCUGCCGUGGUGCCUCGUGGAUGGGCACAGCCCCUCGCAGCCUCCAGGGGACAUUCGUGCUCAGGAAGUCACGUUCCUGCAGCUCAGAGGCCUAGUAAAUGCAACGAGGUGGCGGGAGCCGGGUUCUGAGCCCGCCAGUCGCAGCGGGAGGCCCCACUCUGUAGGAGAAGAUCCCCUUACCGCUGCCCGGCUGGCUCGUCCAGCACGGGUUUGAACUGUGAGCCCCCGCAGGGCAGGGACCCGGUGGCUGACUCCCCACGUACCAAAACCACGUCCAGCACGCAGCGCCUGCCCAGCAAAAGUUCGCUGGGGGACCAGGGUGCUGAGCGCCUGUCCUCGUCUGGCUGCGGUAACAGGACGCCACAGACCCGGUGGCUUCUAAACAACGGAAAUGUGACUCUCGCAGUUCUUGGGCCUGGAAGCCCGAGGGGUAGUGUCUGCCCCGGUGAACAAAAACAAUGGAGCUCACCCCAGAAGAACGUCGACCGUUGCAUUUGGUGGCUUCCCGGCAGCUGACUGGGAUGGGCGGGACCGGGGGACGUGGACCGCGGUGGCUCGAACAGGCCCGGGCUCACGAGGGUCCCACUAAGGUCACGGGGAUGUGACGCGCGUGGCUUGCCACCCUCUUCUGAGGACCAGGAAAAAGGAACUGCAGACACCUCCUCUCUUCGCCGAGCCUCAGUGUCCUCAUCUGCAGGGGGGUGACAGGCCCUGCCCUAGUGUUCUGGGGUGAAAUGAGGGGUGAGUCUGAAAGUGCCGGGUAGGCCGCCAGGGGUCGGACAAGGGCGUCAUUGUUUCACCAUUGAGGGAUCUGACUCGACCACGGCCGUGUCCGUAGCAGGAUAAUCUCCCGAGAUACCAAUUUGGAAUUUGUUCCUACUGCCAUGUUUCCCUUUCUCCCUCUAGGUGGGUAGGCCUUUUGGGUUUCCCUGUUUCCGGAGCCCUUUGUGCAUAGGGUUGAGCACGGGAGUUUCGAGAUCGUUCUCUCUCCCUUUCUGGCCUGCCUUUGCAGAGGACUGUGCUAGCCUGGGGAGGAGGCCCCUGAGAGGCUGGGGAGCAGGAGCAGAAGGGAGGGAACCGGGGCACGGGGAGAAGGGGGCUGGAGAGGUCCUCCCAACUUAGACGAGAAGUGGCUUGGGUUCCGGCUCUUGCUCCCUACCCUCCCAGGACCCCAAAGCGGACGGAGCCUGGGUGAGCCCAGGAGCCCAUAGCGUCUGCAGAUGCUGCAGCCCAGGAGCGGGCGAGCUACCCGCCUGUACAGGCCUUGAGGUUCGAGAACAUCGGUACGACCUCUCCUCUUGCACACCUCGGGGCCUCCCAUGUGCCCGGACCCAGUGGUGCUGCGGACCCACGAGCUGGGCGCCGCUCAUCAGGAUUGGCUUAUUCAGAGAACGGUCAUGUGGCAUUUCUUUCAUGCCCACGUUACGGAGUGACACCCAUUACCCACUCCCCGGGGAACAGGACGCCAGACAAAUGCCUUUGGACAAGAAAGUGAGGUGAACAACAAUAUCCGGAAGAGGCAUGUCCUGAAGGAGCCAGUAGACGUCAGGAAACCGUUGUCCUGUCUUUACCUCCGGCACCAACGAGCUCUGUGACCUUCCCUAAAGCCACUUCCCCAUCUGCGCCUCCGUCUAUAUCUUGGUUGAGUGGGGGGAACUGGGCGGCUUUCCCGGUCCACGUUACUGCAAACCGGGAGUGGACUUGGGAACCGCGAAACCGUGGUCUGCACCGAGGCGGCAGUCGGGAGGCUGUUCCGGUCUUGCCACCUGCUGCGGCAAAGACGACCGACGUCGGAAAGGCAGCUCCUGCUGUCGCAGGGCACAGCCCGAGGAAAUGCGGCACUAGGUCCGCCACCGCGGAAACGACGCUGUCGUGCGCUCGUGGUCUCUCUGUUGGGACUUUGGUCUUUGUGGUAACGUGUGUGUCCUGGGAUUUUUGUUUAAAAAGAAAAAAUAAGUGCCUGUGAAAAAAAAACCCAACCCCUCCAUAACCAGCUCAUCUUUCACCGGGGCUGGAGCAGCGCACACAUGACCGCGUGGGGCUCCUUGUUUAUGUUUUCUCAAUGACUUCCAGAUCACAUCCGCUGUGUUUACAAGACGGAGACACUUCUCUAACCGCCGGUCCUGCAAGCCCAGACGGGGGUGGCCGGGGUGACGCCCAGCUGGGAUGUCUCGGCCUCCGGUUCUCCCGGUGUCCGGCUCCGUCUCCACGGACGCCCCCGCGGGAAGUGCCUGUAGACACCAGCUUUCCGGACUCCAGUCGAACCAACAUGUCAGAUUAUUUUUUUUUAAAGAUUUAUUUAUUUAUUCAUUCAGAGAGAGCGAGAGAGAGGCAGAGACACAGGAAGAGGGAGAAGCAGGCUCCAUGCAGGGAGCCCGAAGCAGGACUCGAUCCCGGGACUCCAGGAUCACACCCCGGGCUGAAGGUGGCACUAAACCGCUGCGCCACCAGGGCUACCCCCAACAUGUUAGAUUAUUAUUAUUAUUAUUUUAAACUGUAAGCCUCAGGCCCAGGGUCGGACCCUGACUGCAGAGGUCAUCUUCCCCGACCCGCGCUCGGCAACUGCUCUCCUUUGCCUCAUGCCUCUCCUGAUUCUUGCCAGACCCACAGCCCCCGAAUCUCAUUCUGUGGUUUCGUAAUAGUGUCCCCCUACCUGCCGGGGGUCCCUGGCUGGCCAGGGCCCGCAGGCCAUCUGCUGAGGUGCCCAUCAGGGUCCACACAGUCCAAACUGAGCCUCUGAAUCUUUUAGCUUGAAAUAUAUGUGCGAGUAUGUAUCCCUGUGAAGCAAGCAUUUCACUUCAAUCCGCCACAUCGGCUGUCCAGGGCUUCUAGGGACGCACUAUGACCGUGGAGCCGCCCCCCGCAGCUGUCACAGUGUCCUCGCGGGGCCUUUGUUGGCGGGCAGCGGGGGUCUGUGUCCGGGGUGGCGGGAACAGGAGACCCACUGGCUUCACAGUCAGGAGCUACUGGGCAGCAGCACGGCCUGGCUGUGUGACCUUGGCCCGGCGGCCUCUGAUGCCCCGUUUCCUGCUCUGCCCUUUGCUCCCCGGGGCUGAGCUGCAGGACCACACGCCAGGCGCGAGCGGAUAUUGAACCUAAUAAACCGCCACGGCAGCGGAGGAAAAAGUUCCCGAGCAUCAGGCUCAAGGUCCUCGGGGAAGCGGCCCAGGAGGAUGGGGAUGCCGUCUGUUGCUAUGCAACUGGGGUAUUUGGAAAAACAAGUCUAAAAAAAACUUGCAUUAAUCACCAGCAGCCCUGAAGGCAGACACGAGGUGCGUGGGCCGAGCUGCUGCCUGGGCUCGGCCGAGGUCGGGGCGUCCCUGUCCCCACAGGCCUGGCCGGCUGGUGGCAGGGGGCCCUCGGGCCUGGCGGGCUUGCGGGGCUCAGGCUGCUUGCAGGAGCCGGGGUGGGGGGGACCAGAGGCCAGGAAGGGAGGCAGCUCCCCACGCUUCUGUUGCAGGGGUUUCUGGAAAUGAGUAAGCAGAGCAGUCGCAUUACCAGGACACGCAGAGCUCCAUCGACUUUAGCGACUGUUCCCACCAGAGGUCUUGAUUCCACCCACAACAGGCAUCCAGGCCCACGCCUCCCGCUUGCGCAGACCACACGCGCGUGUGGUCUCCGCUUGCCUACCUUUGUUCCUCUUUCCUUUCUUCCUCCCUCCUUCCUUUCAUUCUUUCCUCCUUCUCUUUUUUUUUCCUUUUUUCUUUCUUUUCAUUGUGUCUUGUACGCUAUUAAAGGUCUUUUUCUU
Canis lupus familiaris (dog) is the source of this 6360-nucleotide long non-coding RNA. RefSeq lists it as uncharacterized. Lineage: Eukaryota; Metazoa; Chordata; Mammalia; Carnivora; Canidae. The record is from RefSeq and is a predicted model, not a curated record. The transcript is spliced from 7 exons.